This 271-nucleotide long non-coding RNA is filed under the name Elaeis guineensis (African oil palm). RNAcentral describes it as "long non-coding RNA (EGUI_LNC039627)". The record is from RNAcentral. Lineage: Eukaryota; Viridiplantae; Streptophyta; Magnoliopsida; Arecales; Arecaceae.
CUCACCUUUAGAUUUUCACCACCUUCAUCAUGCCAUGGGCCACAUCAUCAUUCCCUCCACCAUAUUGUUGGCACCCCCACCAUGAUGCAAUCAUUGCUGUCACUGCUAUCUCUAUCACAUAAUUGGUACUUCUAUCGUUAUCAUCAAUUAUCACUAUCUUUAUUAUACUAACAUCAUCGUUAUUACUUUUCAUCAUGUCGUUGGUAUCCCCAUCACCUAUACUACUAGAGUUUUCACUACCUCCAUACUUCUACCAUCACCUUCACCAUCA